This 274-nucleotide ribosomal RNA is filed under the name uncultured bacterium. RNAcentral's name for it is "partial 16S ribosomal RNA". It matches the Rfam family "Archaeal small subunit ribosomal RNA", at positions 473 to 747 of the family's 1478-position model. The record is from RNAcentral.
ACACCAGCACCUCAAGUGGUCAGGAGGAUUAUUGGGCCUAAAGCAUCCGUAGCCUGUUCUAUAAGUUUUCGGUUAAAUCCAUUAGCUCAACUAAUGGGCUGCCGAAAAUACUGUAGAACUAGGGAGUGGGAGAGGUAGACGGUAUUCGGUAGGAAGGGGUAAAAUCCUUUGAUCUAUUGAGGACCACCUGUGGCGAAGGCGGUCUACCAGAACACGUUCGACGGUGAGGGAUGAAAGCUGGGGGAGCAAACCGGAUUAGAAACCCCGGUAGUCC